AUCCGUUUCCCAUAAGGCUGAGCUGUGAUGGCGAGCGAAAUAUAGUAGCGAAGUUCCUGAUUCCACACUGCCAAGAAAAGCCUCUAGCGAGGUGAGAGGUGCCCGUACCGCAAACCGACACAGGUAGGCGAGGAGAGAAUCCUAAGGUGAUCGAGAGAACUCUCGUUAAGGAACUCGGCAAAAUGACCCCGUAACUUCGGGAGAAGGGGUGCUCUGUUAGGGUGCAAGCCCGAGAGAGCCGCAGUGAAUAGGCCCAGGCGACUGUUUAGCAAAAACACAGGUCUCUGCGAAGCCGUAAGGCGAAGUAUAGGGGCUGACGCCUGCCCGGUGCUGGAAGGUUAAGAGGAGCGCUUAGCGUAAGCGAAGGUGCGAAUUGAAGCCCCAGUAAACGGCGGCCGUAACAAUAACGGUCCUAAGGUAGCGAAAUUCCUUGUCGGGUAAGUUCCGACCCGCACGAAAGGCGCAACGAUCUGGGCACUGUCUCAACGAGAGACUCGGUGAAAUUAUAGUACCUGUGAAGAUGCAGGUUACCCGCGACAGGACGGAAAGACCCCGUGGAGCUUUACUGCAGCCUGAUAUUGAAUGUUGGUACAGCUUGUACAGGAUAGGUAGGAGCCUUGGAAACCGGAGCGCCAGCUUCGGUGGAGGCAUCGGUGGGAUACUACCCUGGCUGUAUUGACCUUCUAACCCGCCGCCCUUAUCGGGCGGGGAGACAGUGUCAGGUGGGCAGUUUGACUGGGGCGGUCGCCUCCUAAAAGGUAACGGAGGCGCCCAAAGGUUCCCUCAGAAUGGUUGGAAAUCAUUCGCAGAGUGUAAAGGCACAAGGGAGCUUGACUGCGAGACCUACAAGUCGAGCAGGGACGAAAGUCGGGCUUAGUGAUCCGGUGGUUCCGCAUGGAAGGGCCAUCGCUCAACGGAUAAAAGCUACCCCGGGGAUAACAGGCUUAUCUCCCCCAAGAGUCCACAUCGACGGGGAGGUUUGGCACCUCGAUGUCGGCUCAUCGCAUCCUGGGGCUGUAGUCGGUCCCAAGGGUUGGGCUGUUCGCCCAUUAAAGCGGUACGCGAGCUGGGUUCAGAACGUCGUGAGACAGUUCGGUCCCUAUCCGUCGCGGGCGCAGGAAAUUUGAGAGGAGCUGUCCUUAGUACGAGAGGACCGGGAUGGACGCACCGCUGGUGUACCAGUUGUUCUGCCAAGGGCAUCGCUGGGUAGCUAUGUGCGGACGGGAUAAGUGCUGAAAGCAUCUAAGCAUGAAGCCCCCCUCAAGAUGAGAUUUCCCAUUCCGCAAGGAAGUAAGAUCCCUGAAAGAUGAUCAGGUUGAUAGGUCUGAGGUGGAAGUGUGGCGACACAUGGAGCUGACAGAUACUAAUCGAUCGAGG
Molecule: ribosomal RNA, 1377 nt
Filed under: Escherichia coli
Lineage: Bacteria; Pseudomonadati; Pseudomonadota; Gammaproteobacteria; Enterobacterales; Enterobacteriaceae
Description: partial 23S ribosomal RNA
Rfam family: Bacterial large subunit ribosomal RNA
Source: RNAcentral